Molecule: transfer RNA, 73 nt
Filed under: Candidatus Heimdallarchaeota archaeon
Lineage: Archaea; Promethearchaeati; Candidatus Heimdallarchaeota
Also listed under: 2 other names
Description: tRNA-Phe
Rfam family: tRNA
About the family: Transfer RNA (tRNA) molecules are approximately 80 nucleotides in length. Their secondary structure includes four short double-helical elements and three loops (D, anti-codon, and T loops). Further hydrogen bonds mediate the characteristic L-shaped molecular structure. tRNAs have two regions of fundamental functional importance: the anti-codon, which is responsible for specific mRNA codon recognition, and the 3' end, to which the tRNAs corresponding amino acid is attached (by aminoacyl-tRNA synthetases). tRNAs cope with the degeneracy of the genetic code in two manners: having more than one tRNA (with a specific anti-codon) for a particular amino acid; and 'wobble' base-pairing, i.e. permitting non-standard base-pairing at the 3rd anti-codon position.
Source: RNAcentral
GGGCAGGUAGCUUAGCCGGGAGAGCGCAGGACUGAAGAUCCUGAGGUCGUGGGUUCAAGUCCCAUUCUGCCCA